CGUCUACCAUGCAGUCGACGCUGAAGCCUAAAGCUUGCUUUGGGUGGAUGAGUGGCGAACGGGUGAGUAACACGUGAGUAACCUGCCCCUGAUUUCGGGAUAAGCCUGGGAAACUGGGUCUAAUACCGGAUAUGACCUUCUCUCGCAUGAGGGUUGGUGGAAAGUUUUUCGAUUGGGGAUGGGCUCGCGGCCUAUCAGCUUGUUGGUGGGGUAAUGGCCUACCAAGGCGACGACGGGUAGCCGGCCUGAGAGGGCGACCGGCCACACUGGGACUGAGACACGGCCCAGACUCCUACGGGAGGCAGCAGUGGGGAAUAUUGCACAAUGGGGGAAACCCUGAUGCAGCGACGCAGCGUGCGGGAUGACGGCCUUCGGGUUGUAAACCGCUUUCAGCAGGGAAGAAGCGAAAGUGACGGUACCUGCAGAAGAAGUACCGGCUAACUACGUGCCAGCAGCCGCGGUAAUACGUAGGGUACGAGCGUUGUCCGGAAUUAUUGGGCGUAAAGAGCUCGUAGGUGGUUGGUCACGUCUGCUGUGGAAACGCAACGCUUAACGUUGCGCGUGCAGUGGGUACGGGCUGACUAGAGUGCAGUAGGGGAGUCUGGAAUUCCUGGUGUAGCGGUGAAAUGCGCAGAUAUCAGGAGGAACACCGGUGGCGAAGGCGGGACUCUGGGCUGUAACUGACACUGAGGAGCGAAAGCAUGGGGAGCGAACAGGAUUAGAUACCCUGGUAGUCCAUGCCGUAAACGUUGGGCACUAGGUGUGGGGGGCAUUCCACGUUCUCCGCGCCGUAGCUAACGCAUUAAGUGCCCCGCCUGGGGAGUACGGUCGCAAGGCUAAAACUC
Molecule: ribosomal RNA, 845 nt
Filed under: Brevibacterium sediminis
Lineage: Bacteria; Bacillati; Actinomycetota; Actinomycetes; Micrococcales; Brevibacteriaceae
Description: bacterial SSU rRNA
Rfam family: Bacterial small subunit ribosomal RNA
Source: RNAcentral